This 472-nucleotide ribosomal RNA is filed under the name uncultured delta proteobacterium. Its description in RNAcentral is "bacterial SSU rRNA". It matches the Rfam family "Bacterial small subunit ribosomal RNA", at positions 115 to 580 of the family's 1533-position model. The record is from RNAcentral. Lineage: Bacteria; Deltaproteobacteria.
ACGUAGAUAACGUGCCCUUGAGUUGGGAAUAACACUUCGAAAGAGGUGCUAAUACCGAAUACGUUUAUUUUAAUGCUUUUAAAAUAAAGAAAGCCGGGCAACUGGCGCUCAAGGAUCGGUCUGCGGCCCAUCAGCUUGUUGGUAAGGUAACGGCUUACCAAGGCUACGACGGGUAGCUGGUCUGAGAGGAUGAUCAGCCACACUGGAACUGAGACACGGUCCAGACUCCUACGGGAGGCAGCAGUGGGGAAUAUUGGACAAUGGGCGAAAGCCUGAUCCAGCAAUGCCGCGUGAGUGAUGAAGGCCCUAGGGUUGUAGAGCUCUGUCAGGAGGAACGAAACCUUUAGUUAACAGCUAAAGCUGACGGUACCUCCAAAGGAAGCACCGGCUAACUCUGUGCCAGCAGCCGCGGUAAUACAGAGGGUGCAAGCGUUGUUCGGAAUUACUGGGCGUAAAGCGCGUGUAGGCGGUU